Molecule: long non-coding RNA, 4411 nt
Organism: Vicugna pacos (alpaca)
Lineage: Eukaryota; Metazoa; Chordata; Mammalia; Artiodactyla; Camelidae
Source: RefSeq, a predicted model, not a curated record
AGGCCCCGGGGCCUUGCUGCCAGCCUGCCCCAGGGCUGAGGCCCAGCACCCUGCUCACAGCAGCUCUUUGUGCCCCAAUCUUGCAGGUGCGGGGGUGGCGGGGUCCUUGGCACAGCGUGGCCCUGGACCACAUGUGACAGCCGCUGCUCUGUGCGCCGCCCGCCAAGGCCUCUGUGUGGCAUAAAUGCGGCGCACGGCCGGCUGCGGCAGAGCUCCGGGACCUGCACUCGGACUCUCCUCUGCGCUCCCAGGCUCCGCUCGCCCCACCGGCCCCUGAGAACCCGGACACCGAGGCUGACCAGCCCGUCCCCACGGACCCCGCGGACCCCGCACGGACCCUCCCGGGACCUGCAGCACGCUGCUCGCUGUUCCUUUUUCCUAUGCAUAUACUUCUUUGAGGGUCGGGCCUAAAGAGGUGUAGGGCAUGGGAAAACGGGGCGGCGAGGUCCUCCCGCCCGCAGAGCCUGCUCCGGCCGCCAACCUGUGUCUGGACCUGCCUCCACAUCCCUCACGUAGGAUCCGGGACCCCGAGGCAAGGGGGUCCUGGCCCUCCUUCUCUGGCCAGGGUUGGGGGAGUGGGUAAUCUUUGUUUCUGUGUGUGCCCUGGAGCAGUGGACGGCGUGGUCCAGCCCCACCCACCGGCUGGUCUGCGCCCCCACGUGGUGGGGGGUGCUGUGCAGAUCCCAGCUCUGUGGUGACUCUCGCUGGGGACGCCCUGAAGAGUUACAGAAGGUGCCGGAACAGGAGCUGGGACAGUCCCCUGGGGCCACCGUGGAGCAGGGGUGGGGUGGGGGUGGGUCUGAGUCUGGAUGUGGAGCCAUGAGGGUCUGAUGUGCCGAAAAGCUGGGGGAGGAGCGACUGUCAGGGGUUGGGGGGGAGCUGCUUCCGACAGCGUCACUGCACUUGUGAUGAUGAGUCUGAGUGGAUUUUCUGAUCAGAAAAACCAAUAAAGCUGAUUCUGUGUGAACCGCAGCGUGGAAACCUUACAGCUGGCGCCUCCACCAUGUGUGCUGCAGCUCGUCUGGGCUGCUUGGGGGUCACACCGGUGGUCUUGAGGGGACUUAAUAAAAAACACGUACACAUGAGGGAAUGAAACGACACAACAGCUGGGGGGCCGGCGGGGGGCUUUCUGAUGACCUUUCUGAUGACCAGGGUCAGGGGACCAGGACACGCCCAGGGCAUGACAGUGCCCGACACAGCCCGCCCAGCAGCACUGCCUGGGGCCUGGCCUGCUGCUCUGGGUGGGAGCACCUUGGCCCGGAGCCUGUGGGUCCUAACUCCCUGCUGUAGGAAAAGGGCCAGAGGGAGCCCUGGGAACUGGGAGCUUGAACAGCGGUUGUCAGGCUCUUCGCCCAGCAAGCAGAUCUUCGACAGGUCGACAGGUCGACAGGUCCUUUUAGCAGCGGCAGCCCCAGGCCGGGCUGCACCUCCUCCAGAGAGCCGCAGCUCCUGCGGAAGGUGACGGAAGGGGGUUGGGCCUGCAGCAGGCACGGCAAGCAGGGUGGGCAGCCCCCGAGGCCCUCCCUGCUCAGGCAGCCGCCCACGCCUGCAAUGCCAGAAGGGCGCUGGGGGCUAGCUCUGCUGGUGAGGCUCCCCAUGGGACCCCGGAAAGAACUGAAAAGAAGCAGCUGUCACAACACCCUCAGUGUACGAGCAACAGCAGCACUGAUCCAGACACUUGUGUUCCCUGUGGUGGGGAGACAGGUGGGUUGCAGGCACGGCUGGAUCCAGGGAGCCAAUGGAUCUGCCUUGCUCUGUACCAUUAUCCUUCUGUUGGCAGCUGCAGGGCAUGGUUCCUGGGCCCAGAGAGGGAAACCCCUCAGGGUCACUGCCACCUGGCUGGGGCGUGUCCUCCCUGGGUUCUGGACAUGUCCUCGCCACAGGGGCAGGGUCCCUUGUGGGCAGCUCCCAGGCAGGGAGAUAGGCCUGGGAGGUUGGGCAGAGAAGUCCUGUGCAUCCUGUGUCAGCUCUGGCUCAGCUGAGGGGCAGGAAGAGGCAGCCCGGCGCCAGGAUUGGGGCUGGGAGGCCCUUGGAAAUGCCAGGUGACACCCCUACAGGCCAUCAGUCCUGGGGGGGACCUUUGACCCACUGAUGGUGGGGUGGGAUUCCAGGGGCUCCAGGUGAACAAGCCUGUCCCUCAAGCCUCACCGUGGCCUCCCUGGGGAGGGAUCUCCCUCCACCUGCCCCCUUGCCACUUUCAGCAACUGCCAGACUGGGAGCGGGGGCCUUAAUGGCCUGGGAGAGGGAUGAGGCCCAGCCUUCCAGCUUCGGAGGCCUGGGUGGUGGGGCGCCUGCGUGCAGCCCCAGCCUCGUGUGCCCUCGUCCUCCCGGUCCUGGCUCCUGGAUGUGGUCCUGGGGGCGGCAGGCCCUUUGCCACCGGGUGCUGCUGAGCUGGGCUGAGGGUGGAGAGUGUCAGAUUUUUAUUGUCUUGGGUUGGGGUUGUGGGGCUGGGUCUUUCCCACGCCCCUAAGAGAGGCUUGGGGGGCUGCAUCUCUUCAGCAAGUCCACAAUUUCCACUCUGCUUGUGGGGCUGGCGGGGGCGGCCUGGCUGAGAGGGUGGGUCCCUGACCCACACCUUGGGGCUCAUAGCCAGGGUGCCAAGGACUGGGUGGCUCACAUGCUUGGCCCUGGGAAGGGCGGGGCCAGCAUCCCAGCCGUCCCGUGCAGCCACUUCGUCUGAUGAUUUCAGACAGAAAGGUGGGAAGUCCAGCAGGCACCCCGUAAGCCCCCGGCUGGUUCAGCCGCCCGCAUUCUGCAGCGCGUGCUGCACUGUGCUGAUCUUGAGCCUUCUGAAUGUUUCAGGCACGAGGCCCAGCAGACUGUGGGUCCUGUUCCCACACAAAGGCAGGCGAGCACCCCAGCGCCACCAGGCAGAGCCCUUGGACCUCACCCCCCUAACUGCCCCUCCUAGCCUGCCCACCCCAGGCUUCGCAGCUAUUUUCCCAUCAGGUUCCUCCUCAAGGUCCACCAGGGCAGGCCCCAGCCGGCGUCCACGCUAAGUGCCUAGUUCCUGUAAACUGGGAUUUAGGCUUUUGGCAAGAUUUUCACAGGUGAUUCUGUUCCACCCUGUCCGUGCUAUGAGGUGAAGCUGGCUCUACCGCGCCAGUCAGGCUCAGGGGACCCCAUGCCCCCAGCCUGUCUGGGCAGCAGGAGGGAAGGACGCCCUGGGCUGAGUUUCCCAGAAGUGGGCAGAGGCUGCCGACAAGUGAUGCCCAAAGUCCCUGGGGGGCCGGUUCCUGGGAGUGAGGGUGACCGCACACUCAGAGAAUCCCCCGAACCCCUGGGCAAUUUGUAAGUAAUGGGACAAUCUGACAUUUGCUCAAGUUUUUAGGGGCAGAGAAAAUCCAGUUUUGUUUUAAGGUUACAAUAGAUGAAGCCACACAAGCCUGAACAGUAUGUGUUUAAGCAAAUCCUGAGCUCACAAGAAAUCCUGAAUAAAUGGCUCAACAGGACUGUAAAAGCCCCAUCUCUCUCACAUAACCUGCAGCAGUGAUAGGUCAACAACCCCACACGACGUGCUGGGAACGUGGCCAAAAUUCAAAAGCUCUGAGGUGGUGGUGGGGAGGGUAUAGCUCAGUGGUAGGGCGCAUGCUUACCAUGCAUAAGGUCAUGGGUUCAAUCCCCAGCACCUCUGUUAAGUAAAAAAAAAAUCAGUAAAUCUAGUUGCUUCCGUCCCCCCAAAUUCGAAAGCUUCAAACCAGCCCCUGCCCUGCCUCUGGCUCUGUUCUCAGACACCCAGACUCUGCUCCUCGGAUGGAGAAUUUCUGCUUAGAACCCUCCCUCCACAGUGGGCGGGAGGGAGCCUUCAGGGUGCCCCUCCUCCCUGACAGGCCUCAGGGCACACACCCUCCCCAGCUGUGCCCCAAGUUUCCCUGUCACAGCCCCUUCCCCGGCCACCUGCCUCCGUCCUCAACCCACCUGCUCUUCCCUGCAAAGCGUGCUUCCUAUCUGCACACCUGGGUUCUCUGAACUGGCCUUUUGCGGUGGGUCCCCCAGCACCCCCCACCCUGCUCACCAGUCACCCACGUGGCACAGACGCCCUUGGGAUGCCGUGGAUGACGGUGGGCAUCUGAACUCGGUGCGCACCAUCGGAACCCUCCAACAGGUUUGCACUGGUGGGCUUUCUCCUUCCGGUGACGACAGCACUGCCUCGGGGAGCCUCAGGGAGGGGCCCACUCUCUCCCGCUCCUGGGCAUUUGCGGACUUGAUGCCGGAGCCGCCUGCUCUCUGCUGGGGCUGCUGCACCGAGGCAGGCACAGAGGCUCUGCCCUGCAGGUCUUUACCUGUGGGGAAAGUGAGAUCAGAGAGGGGGCGGCCACAGGCCACCACCCUGCCUGCCGGCCACCUCACCUGCACUUCGGAGAGCUGCAUCUCCUGGGCCAGCCGCCGGCGCUCCAGGGGCCCCAGGUAG